CCGUCCGUCCGUCCGUCCGUCUGACCGUCUGUCCGUCUGAGGAAAAGUUUGGUGUCUCUAGUUCUUAUAGACUCUGAGAACUAGCCGACAAACAACACGGACAGACGGUCGGACGGACGGACAGACAGAGAU
This 132-nucleotide microRNA precursor is filed under the name Drosophila guanche. The record is from RNAcentral. Lineage: Eukaryota; Metazoa; Arthropoda; Insecta; Diptera; Drosophilidae.